Molecule: RNA transcript, 1821 nt
Organism: Juglans regia (Persian walnut)
Lineage: Eukaryota; Viridiplantae; Streptophyta; Magnoliopsida; Fagales; Juglandaceae
Exons: 5
Source: RefSeq, a predicted model, not a curated record
GCUUGGUAAAUUUUGGGAAAUGAAGCGUAAGCGGUGACCUCAUCUUCCUUACUUCCAAAAGAGUACGCGGUGCACUUGCGUUUUAUCCAUAAAACCCCUCAAUAAUCUUCAACUUCUUGGCCCCGUACUCAUCAAUACCGUAGCUGUGAGCGUUUGCAGCAUAUCUCCAUUUUGGGAAAAAAUGCUACACUUCUUUCGUGUUACAUUGGCAAUACUGCUUCUGGCAGUCAGCAUAAAACUUUCACAUGCUUUCCAGAGAAAUGGACAUGCUAAGAUGAAGUCGGCUGUUUUUCUAUCCCCCAAGUUUGUGCUGGGCCAAGGAUCGGUGGUGGACAAAUAUUACUAUAAUAUUGACUUCCCAAGAGGUCACAUUGCUCUCAAGAGUUUCAAUGCUGAAGUAGUUGAUGAAGCAGGGAACUCUGUGCCACUUCACGAGACUUAUCUCCACCACUGGGUCAUUGGAAGAUACUAUCAACGUCGAGGUGCAACAGAUCCAGAACACAAUGGCCCUCUGAAACUUGACAAAUCUGAUCACAUUCUCGUGAGGAAUAGUGGGGUCUGCCAGAAGAAUUCUCUUGGACAGUAUUAUGGUCUUGGAUCUGAAACACGAGGAACAUCUACAUUUGUUCCAGAUCCUUAUGGAAUAGAAGUUGGUGAUCCUGCAGAUAUUCCUGCUGGGUAUGAGGAGGGGUGGUUCCUUAAUGUUCAUGCAAUUGAUACUCGGGGCGUCGAAGAUAAGUUGGGAUGCACUGAAUGCAGGUGUGAUCUAUAUAAUGUCACAAAGGAUCAAUAUGAUCGCCCCUUGAGGCCAGACUAUAAAGGAGGCUUACACUGUUGCUAUGAUUAUACACAAUGCAGACUGAGAGAAGGCUUUGAGAGCGCUGAGAGAAGAAGCCUUUACCUGAGAUAUACAGUGAAGUGGCUUGAUUGGGAUGAGUUUAUCGUGCCUGUUAAGAUUUAUAUACUCGAUGUCACUGAUACAUGGAAAAGAUUGGACAAUUCAACAGGACAGAAUGCAGAACAUGAAUGCCAUGUUGAGUAUGAAGUUGAAUCUUGUAGGGCAUCUGGCAUGGCUAAUAAUGGAUGCAUUGACACCAAAAGGGUAAGCCUCACAAUGCCUACUGGUGGUUCUGUCAUCUAUGGUGUUGCCCAUCAACAUUCAGGGGGUAGUGGUUCAACUCUUUAUGGAGAGGGUGGACGGGUAAUAUGUUCUUCAAUACCAACUUAUGGAGAAGGAGAGGAAGCAGGAAAUGAGGCGGGUUAUAUUGUAGGAAUGUCCAGUUGUUAUCCUCGACCAGGUUCUGUCAAGAUAAACGAUGGGGAGACACUGAUUCUGGAAUCUAAUUACAGUAGCACCCAAAGGCACACUGGAGUCAUGGGGCUCUUCUACAUUUUGGUUGCAGACGAAUUGCCAAAGCCCUCAAUACGCAUCCCACUUUCAAAGUCAGUUAAUCAGGUAUGAGGCUAUGAGCAUUUAGAAAGAAAUAGAAGGCAAAUUAGGAUGGAUAAAGAGGCAGUCGGGGUACCAAUGAUGGAUGGUUUGAUCAGUUACAGGUUUGAGAGCGGCAAUAGGCGUUGCCGCCAGUGUCCUCCAUCAGCUUCGGACUGAGGGAGAAUACAAAUACCGUUCACUUUUUCAGCUGUUCUACGAGUCUUGGUUUAUGUUAUGAACGUGGAAUUUAGUACCCUUUUAGAUGGCUCUAUUUGUAUAUAGACAUAAACUUGUAGCCUUGUGAAGUUCUUCUGAAUCCCACGGGAAAUAAAUAGAUAUAUAGAUUCUGUCAUCUUUUGAAUCAAAAGAUUGGACCUUUUUUUUAUUUA